CCUACGGGAGGCAGCAGUGGGGAAUAUUGCACAAUGGGGGAAACCCUGAUGCAGCGACGCCGCGUGAGUGAAGAAGUAUUUCGGUACGUAAAGCUCUAUCAGCAGGGAAGAAAAUGACGGUACCUGACUAAGAAGCCCCGGCUAACUACGUGCCAGCAGCCGCGGUAAUACGUAGGGGGCAAGCGUUAUCCGGAUUUACUGGGUGUAAAGGGAGCGUAGACGGCAGGGCAAGUCUGGAGUGAAAUCCCAUGGCUUAACCAUGGAACUGCUUUGGAAACUGUGCAGCUAGAGUGCAGGAGAGGUAAGCGGAAUUCCUGGUGUAGCGGUGAAAUGCGUAGAUAUUAGGAGGAACACCAGUGGCGAAGGCGGCUUACUGGACUGUAACUGACGUUGAGGCUCGAAAGCGUGGGGAGCAAACAGGAUUAGAUACCCCGGUAGUC
This 440-nucleotide ribosomal RNA is filed under the name uncultured bacterium. RNAcentral describes it as "partial 16S ribosomal RNA". It matches the Rfam family "Bacterial small subunit ribosomal RNA", at positions 338 to 795 of the family's 1533-position model. The record is from RNAcentral.